UUGACCUCGGAUCAGGUAGGGAUACCCGCUGAACUUAAGCAUAUCAAUAAGCGGAGGAAAAGAAACCAACAGGGAUUGCCUCAGUAACGGCGAGUGAAGCGGCAAGAGCUCAAAUUUGAAAGCUGGCCCCUUCGGGGUCCGCGUUGUAAUUUGCAGAGGAUGCUUCGGGAGCGGUCCCCAUCUAAGUGCCCUGGAACGGGCCGUCAUAGAGGGUGAGAAUCCCGUCUGGGAUGGGGUGCCCGCGCCCGUGUGAAGCUCCUUCGACGAGUCGAGUUGUUUGGGAAUGCAGCUCUAAAUGGGUGGUAAAUUUCAUCUAAAGCUAAAUACUGGCCGGAGACCGAUAGCGCACAAGUAGAGUGAUCGAAAGAUGAAAAGCACUUUGAAAAGAGAGUUAAACAGCACGUGAAAUUGUUGAAAGGGAAGCGCUUGCGACCAGACUCGCUCGCGGGGUUCAGCCGGCCUUCGGGCCGGUGUACUUCCCCGCGGGCGGGCCAGCGUCGGUUUGGGCGGCCGGUCAAAGGCCCUCGGAAUGUAACGCCCCCCGGGGCGUCUUAUAGCCGAGGGUGCCAUGCGGCCAGCCCGGACCGAGGAACGCGCUUCGGCUCGGACGCUGGCAUAAUGGUCGUAAGCGACC
Molecule: ribosomal RNA, 634 nt
Filed under: Penicillium raperi
Lineage: Eukaryota; Fungi; Ascomycota; Eurotiomycetes; Eurotiales; Aspergillaceae
Description: eukaryotic LSU rRNA
Rfam family: Eukaryotic large subunit ribosomal RNA
Source: RNAcentral